This 292-nucleotide ribosomal RNA is filed under the name uncultured bacterium. Its description in RNAcentral is "partial 16S ribosomal RNA". It matches the Rfam family "Bacterial small subunit ribosomal RNA", at positions 774 to 1067 of the family's 1533-position model. The record is from RNAcentral.
AGGAUAGAUACCCUGGUAGUCCACGCCGUAAACGAUGUCUACUAGCAGUUUGGAGCUUAAGCUCUGUCUUGCGCAGCUAACGCAUUAAGUAGACCGCCUGGGGAGUACGGCCGCAAGGUUAAAACUCAAAUGAAUUGACGGGGGCCCGCACAAGCGGUGGAGCAUGUGGUUUAAUUCGAUGCAACGCGAAGAACCUUACCAUCUCUUGACAUCCAGAGAAUUUAGUAGAGAUACUUUAGUGCCUUCGGGAACUCUGAGACAGGUGCUGCAUGGCUGUCGUCAGCUCGUGCCG